GACGAACGCUGGCGGCGUGCCUAAUACAUGCAAGUCGAACGCUUCUUUCCUCCCGAGUGCCUGCACCCAAUUGGAAAGAGGAGUCGCGUACGGGAUAGUAACACGUGUGCAACUUCCUCAUCAGAGGCGGAUAACACCUGGCACUAGGAGCUAAUACCGCCUACCAGUUUAUGCCGCAUGGCUUAAGAGUUAAAGCCGCUUUCGGGUCCCGUUGCUGGUUGGCUCGUUGGUGCAUUAGCUAGUUGGUGAGGUAACGGCUCACCAAGGCGACGAUGCAUAGCCGACCUGAGAGGGUGAUCGGCCACACUGGGACUGAGACACGGCCCAGACUCCUACGGGAGGCAGCAGUAGGGAAUAUUCGGCAAUGGGCGAAAGUCUGACCGAGCAACGCCGCGUGAGUGAAGAAGGUUUUCGGAUCGUAAAGCUCUGUUGUUGGGAAAGAACAAGGACAUGAGUAAAUGAACGUCCUCUGACGGUAUCUAACCAGAAAGCCACGGCUAACUACGUG
Molecule: ribosomal RNA, 508 nt
Filed under: uncultured bacterium
Lineage: Bacteria
Description: partial 16S ribosomal RNA
Rfam family: Bacterial small subunit ribosomal RNA
Source: RNAcentral